AUUGAACGCUGGCGGCAGGCCUAACACAUGCAAGUCGAGCGGAUGAAGGGAGCUUGCUCCUGGAUUCAGCGGCGGACGGGUGAGUAAUGCCUAGGAAUCUGCCUGGUAGUGGGGGAUAACGUCCGGAAACGGGCGCUAAUACCGCCUACGUCCUGAGGGAGAAAGUGGGGGAUCUUCGGACCUCACGCUAUCAGAUGAGCCUAGGUCGGAUUAGCUAGUUGGUGGGGUAAAGGCCUACCAAGGCGACGAUCCGUAACUGGUCUGAGAGGAUGAUCAGUCACACUGGAACUGAGACACGGUCCAGACUCCUACGGGAGGGAGCAGUGGGGAAUAUUGGACAAUGGGCGAAAGCCUGAUCCAGCCAUGCCGCGUGUGUGAAGAAGGUCUUCGGAUUGUAAAGCACUUUAAGUUGGGAGGAAGGGCAGUAAGUUAAUACCUUGCUGUUUUGACGUUACCAACAGAAUAAGCACCGGCUAACUUCGUG
RNAcentral lists this ribosomal RNA (484 nucleotides) under uncultured bacterium. Its description in RNAcentral is "partial 16S ribosomal RNA". It matches the Rfam family "Bacterial small subunit ribosomal RNA", at positions 30 to 507 of the family's 1533-position model. The record is from RNAcentral.